This is a long non-coding RNA of Mauremys mutica (yellowpond turtle), 714 nucleotides long. RefSeq lists it as uncharacterized. Lineage: Eukaryota; Metazoa; Chordata; Testudines; Geoemydidae. The record is from RefSeq and is a predicted model, not a curated record. The transcript has 3 exons.
ACUGCCUCCUGCUCUGCUGCACCUACAAGCUACUUGCUAUUCCAGUCCCUCCCCCUACAGGAUAUGGAUGCCUACAGGAUCUGUAGAAAGGGACAUCAGAGCAGUUUGUAAAAGGCUCCUUGUUCAGUGAACUCUGGAAAUUGAGAGGGGAACAAGCUACUACUUUGUUUUCUGUUUACACCCUGACAUUUAUAAACAAGCGAAAAAUGCAGCCCACUUGUGGAAUAGACAAUAUUCUGCUACUUGGCAAGAAAUAACCCAGGUGUGACGUCACAUUGCCUCGCUGAUUACAGGACCAACUAUAAACCUUUGAAAAGUCAAUAUGAUCAUGGAAUGUGCAUUGUCUCAAUCCCAGGCCAUCAGCAGGAAAUAAGCCCCUCAGCAACAUGAGGUCUAUAGGCCUGGGGGCUGGAAUCCACAGAUACCUUUUUGAAACUGAUCUCCUCUACCACAGCAGAAAUUGCUGCUGGAAAUGACAAGGCUAGUGAACGGUUCAAGGUUAUCAGACUCUGGUUUUAUUUUUAAAAUGUGCAACUUCUAAUUAAAACUGGCUAGUUUCUGACAUCACUUUGUUGUUAAUCAGUAAUCAAUCUCCUAAAUUAAGGCAACCAAGUAUCUUUGUUCCAUAUUGCAUUGGUUUAGUCCUGAAGAUAGUGUCUGUCCCUUCCUCUGAGGGACACAUGAGAACACACACAUGCAGAAUCGUCAAGUGGA